AGCAGCAGCCGCGGUAAAACGUAGGUGGCGAGCGUUGUCCGGAAUUAUUGGGCGUAAAGGGAGCGCAGGCGGGCGAGUAAGUCUUUCUUAAAAGUGCGGGGCUCAACCCCGUGAGGGGAGAGAAACUACUCAUCUUGAGUGCAGGAGAGGAAAGCGGAAUUCCUAGUGUAGCGGUGAAAUGCGUAGAUAUUAGGAAGAACACCAGUGGCGAAGGCGGCCUUCUGGACUGUAACUGACGCUGAGGCUCGAAAGCCAGGGGAGCGAACGGGAUUAGAGACCCCCGUAGUCCCUGUCUCUUAUACA
This 303-nucleotide ribosomal RNA is filed under the name uncultured bacterium. RNAcentral describes it as "partial 16S ribosomal RNA". It matches the Rfam family "Bacterial small subunit ribosomal RNA", at positions 507 to 809 of the family's 1533-position model. The record is from RNAcentral.